Long non-coding RNA from Megalobrama amblycephala (Wuchang bream), 2177 nucleotides. RefSeq lists it as uncharacterized. The transcript is spliced from 2 exons. NCBI's taxonomy places the organism in Eukaryota, Metazoa, Chordata, Actinopteri, Cypriniformes, Xenocyprididae. The record is from RefSeq and is a predicted model, not a curated record.
GCGAUAUUUGAGAAAAGAGCAUAUCAAUCUAAUAGCCGUAGACGCAUAGCGGAACUAACUUUACCCUGCGUCACGUGAUUUCCGAUUCUUGUGAAAAGGCCUAUUAAUGUGGGUUUAACGCUUUAAGUUGGACUAUAAUUGUUUUGUCAGAAACCGCGCUUUCUGCGUGGGAGUUUGUGACUGAGGGAAAGUGAAAUGCCACCGGAGUUGUGUGGUUUUGGACUGUGAUGCGAGCUUAUGCCUGUUAGCCUCUCUGACUAAAUUAGCUCGUGGUUUUGCAGUAACAUUUUUUCAUACGGUCGCGGGAGUGACCGCAUACACAUCGUUUGCAUGCUGGACGAGGGAAGACAAUAUCGGGACGAGAUUCGCUGGCUGACGCAGAUGUUUUCUUCAUUGGGGACCGGUUGGCUGUCGAUGCUGGACGGACGACGCUGAUUAACCCUUGCUGUGCCGCUUGCAAACGGAGUUCGCCUGAGGAGAGAGAGAGUUACAAUCGCGGUAGGAUCCGUGUUUUUUUCUUCACUCUACACCAGGAGGUAUUGUUGCUUUCUUCAUUUUAUGAGCUCCAACAUUAAGCGCGCCAACGAACUAACUAGGCCUGCUAAAAGAACUGAAAAAUAAGAGUGCACUCAGGUUAUCACAGACUUAUGACUUCGGGGGUGUUUUCUAAUUUGGAUUUUAUUUUCAUAUUUGCUUUUUGCUGUUCAACUGUUAUGUGAGUUUUGUAUAAUACAAAUCAUUGAGCUAUGGCGAUCUUGUUGUUUAUUCUUUCACCAGCCAUUGUAUUUGUGUAGCUCAGUGUUUUCUGUGGUACUAUUCUAUAUUUUAAAACCAAUAAUAUUCUUUCAGGUACCCAUUGAUGAGCAAAGAUAUAGUGAAAAUUAUAGUGUUCUUAGACAGGGUUAUUAUACAAUGGAAUGUCUCUUUCACCAUUUUACCAAGCAUUAGGGUUAAGAGGGUUCAAUACUUUAUACGUUGCUGUAUAACGUACAUCUCAUCACGAGCAUAUGGUGAAAAGGGUUACAUAUGUGUAGUGAUAUGAACUCAAGUAGUCAUGUAUGUAUUGUUAUCAUUAAUAUUAUUAGUUAUCAUUUGUUAAAUAUAGUUCUUACGUUAAAUGUAUAUGAAAAUAUAUUUGUAUGUAGUACUGUGCAAGGAUGCCAACUUGAACAUCACUUAGACCUGUAAACGCUGGCGGAUGACGCUAGAGGGUGAUCGUGAGCCGCAGGAUAUAGAGCUUCAUUUAUAUAUGAAGAAGCCACUCUGGCAGUCACUAAUAUACAGUUGAAGAUAACUAAUUCUUAUCUCUGUUUAUGUGUGUUUACAGGUAAGAUGAGUGAUGUGGCAUCACAGUUUGUGUUCAUAAAAUGUUUAUACGUUAGUUAUAUGUGUUAGUUUGAUGAAUUUGUAUAUUAAAGCGAUAGAUAUGCGGCCGGCGGCGCCCGCGCGAUGGAUUGCGCAAUCGCGGCUGAGAGGCGGCCGACCCCGCUGCGCUGGUGGAGGCCGCGCGAGACAUCACGACAUAAUAUUACUAGUGCUUAAUGUCGUUAGACAAUAUAAUUGCAAUCACUCGUUGUUAUAAAAGAGUUGAUAUUUGUUUAUUGUUAUGUUUGUGUUCUAUAAAUCUGUCAUUGGUUAGGGACAACUAAAUUGCUGAUAGAGAUCGUUUACAACAGAGCACACAGAGAGAAAUAUAGUCUACUAAAAAGGAAACAAAGUGCUUAUACACCAUUUGUGUAUGUUUAUUGAGUAUUGUCUGUUUGAUGUAAUGUUAAUGCGUUACAGAUAGUAUAUAGCAAUGUAUUCUCAUUCUCUUUUGAUGUAUUGUCAUAAGAUUGUGCAAAGUGUGUUUAUUGAGAGAAAGCUUAUUUUAUAUAUGAAGAAGCCACUCUGGCAGUCACUAAUAUACAGUUGAAGAUAACUAAUUCUUAUCUCUGUUUAUGUGUGUUUACAGCGUGUUUAAGCAAUAAAACAAUAUAUGUGCCACCAGAAGUCCCCGCCUCUUCUGUGUGUGCAACAUAUGCCCUGAUCUUUAUUGGGGAGUGUUGCUCAACUCGUCUCUACAGAAUCCCCCCCAGGGUGACUAAACAACACUCGGAUAACCAGUACAAAGGACAGUUUUUUAAGAGAAAGAAAGACAAGCAAAAAAUGAUGCUGGAAAAUAAAAUGAUUGAAGG